RNAcentral lists this unclassified non-coding RNA (1923 nucleotides) under uncultured fungus. Its description in RNAcentral is "sequence contains 18S rRNA gene, ITS1, 5.8S rRNA gene, ITS2, 28S rRNA gene". The stretch from base 813 to 1923 matches the Rfam family "Eukaryotic large subunit ribosomal RNA", at positions 1 to 961 of the family's 3401-position model. Lineage: Eukaryota; Fungi. The record is from RNAcentral.
GGAAGGAUCAUUAACACGUUAUCCAUACGUUAACCAAUUGUGAAUCGUUUUCGCCCUCCCUUCACUUAGAAUGAGCGGGGUUUGUAGAGGUCGUAUCAGGGAUUGUUUCGACAAUUUAGCCUCUACUUACUAUUUUAUUGAGACAGAAAUGUUUCUUAAGACGCUGUAUCUAUUGUGGAGAUUAAUCUCGCUAGCGCUUUCCUCUUACGAGAGUUAGUCGGGAACUAUAUUAACUUAUUUCACCUUUUUGCUAGUUGACUUUUAUAUGUUGGGUUUAAUGCAUUGCGUUCUACUCACACGUUUAUUAUUUGAACGUUAAAAUUACAACUCUUAGCAAUGGAUAUCUUGGUUCUCGCAACGAUGAAGAACGCAGCGAAAUGCGAUACGUAAUGCGAAUUGCAGAAUUCAGUGAAUCAUCAAAUCUUUGAACGCAAAUUGCGCUCCUGGGUAGCCCUAGGAGCACGCCUCUCUCAGUAUCGGUUCAACAAUCUCUCAGCAGCGUGUUUGCAAUUGAUUUAUUUCUUUUGUUUAUUCGUGUUGGCUGGAUAAUGAGAGUCUGUGUGCUUGCAUGCAGUCUCUUUAAAUACAUGGAGUGAACAUCAACUUUUCGAUCAGCGCUGUAUUUAUUUAUGGCUAGCCAGUCUCUGACUGUUGCUCGAAUAGUGACGUGAAUAUUGGCCUUCGUGGUCUUCCUUUUACGUGUAUCUAUUUGUGUGACACUUUAAGUCAGUAAUUGGUGAACGAUUUGUUUAGAAGCUGUUUGCGUGAGAAAACCAUAUGAUUUGUAGAGCUUGCUCUAUGAGUCUGAAUUUUGAUCUGAGAUGAAGCGAGACAACCCCCUGAAUUUAAGCAUAUUAAUAAGUGGAGGAAAAGAAACUAACAAGGAUUCCCCCAGUAACGGCGAGUGAAGCGGGAAGAGCUCAAUUUGAAAAUCGAUUUCCUAAACGGGACAUCGAGUUGUAGCCUAGAGACGUACUAUCAGCUGAAACCUGGGUAUAAGUUCUUUGGAAUGAGGCAUCAUAGAGGGUGAGAAUCCCGUUUAUGACCCAAAGCUUUCAGCGUACGAUGUAUGUUCAUCGAGUCGAGUUGUUUGGGAUUGCAGCUCUAAAUGGGUGGUAAGUUUCAUCUAAAGCUAAAUAUAGGCGAGAGACCGAUAGCGAACAAGUACCGUGAGGGAAAGAUGAAAAGAACUUUGAAAAGAGAGUUAAAAGUACUUGAAAUUGCUAAGAGGGAAGCGCUAAAAACCAGUGAUACGUUGGGUCAAUCGCUUUCAGCCCCCCUAGUUUGCGUUUGUAAUGGGUAACCUUGCUCUCGUAACCGAAAAGGUGGUUGUUUGUUUAUGAUCUUUCGUCAGUCAAGAUCAAUUCGAAUUGUGGGAGAAGGUAGCGAGAAAGGUAGGUGAGCAAUCACUGUUAUAUUCUUGUUACUCUACCUCGGCUUGGAUUGAGGAAGUAAUGGUGCGCCGCUUGCGGCUUGGUCCUGCGUUUCUAUUGCUCUAUUUGCUCUCAUAGCAAUGCUAUGUUUGUGGAAACAAGUAAUACUGGGCGUAGUGAUUCUAUGUGCCAUCACGAUCUUGUACGAAAUGGUUUUUAUCGACCCGUCUUGAAACACGGACCAAGGAGUCUAACAUCUAUGCAAGUAUUUUGGUGCAAAACCAUGAUGCGUAAUGAAAGUAAAGGCAGUCUUGUACUGCUGAGGUAGGAAUCCCCUUAAAAGGAGGCACUAUCGACCGAUCAUCACUUGUGAAAGAUUUGAGUAAGAGCAUAUCUGUUGGGACCCGAAAGAUGGUGAUCUAUGCCUGAACAGGGUGAAGCCAGGGGAAACUCUGGUGGAGGCUCGUAGCGAUACUGACGUGCAAAUCGUUCGUCUGAUUUGGGUAUAGGGGCGAAAGACUAAUCGAACCAUCUAGUAGCUGGUUCCCUC